RNAcentral lists this long non-coding RNA (888 nucleotides) under Marmota monax (woodchuck). The record is from RNAcentral. Lineage: Eukaryota; Metazoa; Chordata; Mammalia; Rodentia; Sciuridae.
GAAGAAUAAAAGCUUAUAUAUCAGAAGCCCCUGGAUAAGGGACUUGACUAACCUUGUGACUUUUUUUCUUUUUUUGGUACAGGGACAAGACACAGAGGUGCUUAACCACUGAGUCACAUAACCAGCCCUUUUUUAUAUCAAUUUUAUUUAUUUAUUUAUUUUUCGACACAGGGUCUCCCUAAGUUGCUCAGGGCCUCACUAAGUUGCUAACACUGGCUUUGAAUUUGAGACCCUCCGGUCAGCCUCCUGAGCCACUGGGAUUAUAGGCCUGUGCCCCCACACCCAGCUAACUGUGUGACUUUAACAUGUGCCGUGGCCCAUUGGAACUUAAGCUUCCUUAUCGAAUACUUCACCCUGCUGUGAGAUCAGAAUCCAUGUGUGGAAAGCACUGGCCACAGUGUCCAAUACCAUGGCUGCUAUUAUUAUGCUAAAUAGUACCAGCGACUUCAGAGGCCAGCAUGUCCAAUGGAUUGGAACCCACAUCCGGAGAGGGCAGGACUGUUUGCUAGGUCUGUUAGAAGUGCCGUCCCUGAGAUUUAACUUCUGGAUACAGUAAAGAAUUAAGCAGCUCAGGGGGGCACUCAGACCCCUUGUUCAUGAUAAAUAUACACUGUGCAGUGAAGAAGAAAUCCAUCCUAAAGGAAGAGCCGGCCUGCCUGCAACAGCCACUGGCAGAAAGAAUUAAGCCACUUCCCCAAACAUCAAGAGCCAACAGGAGAAACGAACCAAUUCAUGGCAAAAUUUUAUCCUAGUAGAAUAGCAAGAGACCACAGGCCUCCUUUUGUCAAUGCCUCUUCAAUUUAAAGAACUCACUGCAGCUCAUAAGAAUUGAAUUUGCUUAUUGAUUAAUCCAUACAGACACCACACUCCAUACCGUAGGAUCCCAUC